GUCUUAGUCCAGGGUCCUGGUACAGAGUUUCUAAGACCUGUGGAAUGUCUGGAGUGAUAAAAAUAGCUUUGUAUGCCCAUAAGAUGACUAGUGGCUGGUAGGCUGUAGAUAACCUAAGGAUCAUGGCUGGUCCAGAAAGAUGGAGGCAUGAUUAAAGGAUUGAAACUUUCGCACACGUCAAACUCUAGGAAGGCAGAUAGGCUGAGGGUUAAGUUGAUAACCAGUGGCUACGAGUAAAGCCUCUAUGAGAACCCCAAAAGUGUGGGUUUGGGGAGCUUCAGGGUAGCUGAACAUGUUGAGGUUCUUGGGCAUGGAAGCUCUGCACCUUUCCCACCAUACUGUGUCCUAUCCAUCUCUUUAUCUGACCAUCCAUCUAUGUACUUUGUAAUAUUCUUUAUAAGAAACUAGUAAACACAGGGAAGUAUUUCUUUGCAUUCUUUGAGUGAUCCCAGCAAAUUCCCUCCCUCAAGGAGGAGGUAGCCAGUUGGUCAUAGGUGUAUGUGACAACCUACAACCUACUACCUGUGACUGGCUUCUGGACUUGGGAAUGUAUUGUGGGACUGAGCCCUCAACCUGUGGAAUGACAGUAUCUCCAGCGAGAUGGUAAAAUAGGUCACAGAAUUUGUGACCUUUGAGGAUGUGGCUGUGGACUUUACCCAGCAGGAGUGGGCUUUGCUGGAUCUCGCUCAGAGGAGCCUCUACAGAGAUGUGAUGCUGGAAACCUCCCAGAACCUGGUCUCACUAGGUAAGAUUGGCAAUGUUGUUCAUGUAGGGUUUAGAAAACAGUUUUAUCUACUAGUUGACCUUGUUCCAGGAUCUGUGCUGAGGAGUGGGAGUACUUGGUAAAUAAGAUAAACGUGGUCAUUGAUCACAGGGUGCCUACGAUCUGGAGGCUUCUUCAUGAAAAUGAACACGGGCAUAUUAAACUUGUUUUUUUCUUUUUCUUUUUGUGGUUGAAAGCCUUGAGGCUUAUUAAGUGUUGAAUGUGUGGGCAUUGAGGGGCUUCUUUGGGGCACAGGGAGAGUUUGUGAUUUGUGACCUUUGAAGAUUCUACUGCCGUGAAUGCCUUUUACUAAGAGACCACCAGGAGCACAUCUGUAAGUUAAAGAAGCGGGGUUUAUUUUGCAGUCAUGGGAGAACAUACCCAUGGGGAGUCGAGGGGCAUCUAAAAAGAGGGCAUUAGAAAUACCUAUUAGAGAAUUUGUGCUGCUUUUUGGAUGAUUUAGUGAUGAGUCUAUGGGGUAGAUAAUGUUAGUUUCUUAAGCCUGUCUGUGAACCAGUACCACAAACUGGUGGGUAAAAAGUAUAGAAAUUUUUAUUCUUUCAUAUUUCUGGCAUCUGGGAGUGUGAAACAAGGUAUCAUUGGAGCUAUAUUCUUUCUAAAGCUUCUAAGGAAAAAGUCCCUCCCUGUCACUUUGUACCUUCAGGUGGUUGCUGGCAGACCUUUUUGUUUAUAGAUGUAUCACUCUAGUCUCUGCCUCCACCAUUACCUUCCCUGUGUACCUCUUUCUAAUCUCUGUCCAUAUAGGGACAUCCGUCAUUGGAUUUAGGAUCCAUCUUAAUCCAGAAUAACCUCAUCUUAACUUUAGUAUAUUGACAAAGACCUUGUUUCUGUAUAAGGCAACAUUCUAAGGUUCUAGGUGGAUAUAUUUUUUAAAAAAAUUCAAACUAUUUUUAGAUGAAGUUUUAGUUAAUAACAAAAAUGAAUGGAAGGUAGAGAGAUUUUUCUACUCCCAAACAUGGAUAGCCUCACCAGAAUGGUAAUUUUUUAAAAAAAUUAAUGGACCUAUGUUGAUAUUUCAUCAUCACUUAGAAUUCAUUCUUUGUAUUUAGAUUUUUUGUCUUGGUACCAUGAAUUGAACCAAGGGGAACUUAACCACUGAGCCAAAUUCCAGUCCUUUUUGUUUUUAAUUUGGGACAGAGUUAGCAAGUUGCUUAGGGCCUCUUUAAGUUGUUGAGGCUGGCUUUGAACUUGGUGAUCCUCCUGCCUUAGUCUCUCAAAUGGCUGAGAUUUUAGGUAUGUGCCAUCAUAUCUGGUCAUUUCUUCUUAGUGGGUACUUUUUUUUUUUUAAGUUAUACUUUAUUUCUAAAAGUAUAACUACACCAUUUCCCUUAAUUACCUUUUUACUCUUUUAUCAAGAUAUACAUACACUAAUGUGCAUGAAGUGCCAAUCUAUGUACAGCUUGAUGAAAUUUCACGUGGAUGUAUACAUCCUGGUGGACACACUUCUAGGAUUCCAGGAAGUUCAUUUAUCCCCUUUCUCAAUAAUCACACCAAAGAGGAAACCCAAUUUUGACUCUUACUAUACUUGAUUUGGUUUGAUUGUUCUUGCUUUUAGAUAAAUGUUAAACUAUAAUAUGUACAGUGAUUUGUUUGGCUUCUUUAACUCAACAUAAUGCCUGGUUUGUCCUUUAGUUGGUCUUUUGGUAGACUUACAUACUUACUUCUCUUGGUAUAUGCUAUAUGUGAGGUAAUGCAAUUACUGAAUGAUAGGGCAGACUUCAUGUAUAGUUUUGGUAGAUGCUUUAGUUUUUUAAAAAUGUUAGUUUCAGCUGUAAUCCCCCAACACCAUGUAAGUUUUAGCAGUUUCACACACCUGGCCCAUGCUUAGAAACUUUAGCCAUUCAUUAGAGUCUGUAGUGAUAUUAUGCAUUUUUCUGAUAUGUAAUGGUUUAGCGUACUUUUUUGUGUGCUUAUUGGUUAUUUGGACAUCUUUAUGAAGGCACUUUUUGAAGCAAUUCACCCAUUUAUUGUCCUCUCUCUUUUUUAAAAAUUUGAAUGCUUUCCUUCUGGUUAGUUGUCUAAUUGUAUGUAUAUGUUAUAUGUAUUUUGUAUCUUGAUACAUACACAUCCACCUAUCUGUAUUAACAAACACAUACACACACAUAUAUACGUAUUGUAUAUAUGUUCAUAAAAAUGCAUAUAUAUUAUAUCAGAUAACUUCUUCCAGUCUUUGGGUAGUUUCUUCACUCAAUUUUUUUUUUCUAUAAAGUGUAUUUAUUUAUUUGACUUCAGUGAUGUACACCACAGUCAUUCCCAUGCUCAACCCCUUCAUAUAUAGCCUGAGGAACAGGGACAUCAAGAGGGAGGUUCCUCAGAAUACAGUGUUCAUAUUGGAUAAGCCAGUGAAACCAAACUUGUGGAACCCUCAACUCUGCCCAUCUGGUUCUGUAGUUUUUGUCGCUCUCAUGUCUUUCAAUUUUCUCAAUAUCUCCUAUAUGAACACUGCUUCUUUUGGUACAUCUGUAAUGGCAUUGAUGGAGUAUUAUGGGAUGUUGUCUACAUUAGUCACUGUAUAACUGAAUUCUGCAACAUCUAUAUAACCUUCUUUAUUUUUCAUCUAUGGCCCGAGCAUCUUGGAGAAAUGCACAAAUGUUUUGGAAAAGUAAUUUCAAUCUUCAUCCCUUUCAAAAAUUCAUACCUCUUUUCUAUUCUACUUUCAUGUCUUUUAGAUAUAUUUAGGUAUGUUAAGUGUAAGGAUGAACAUAACUGGUCCUCAGCCUAGGUGCUCUCGUUUGGUUCCAGUGACUCAAAACUCCAUGUGUUGGUAGCUUGGUCCUCAGAGUGGUGAUAUAGUAGGUGGUGGAACCUUUGAGCGGUGGGGUACCAGAAAUUAAAUAUGUUAUUGGGGAGUGUCCUUGAAAGUGAUUAAUGCUGGUCUCAAGGAAUAAGUUAGUUCUCAUGAGAGUGGUUUGUUAUAAAGGAGCAAGGCUGGCCCCUCCCUGCUCUCCGGGGUCCUGCUUACCAUGUGAUCUUUCCUUUUCUGUGUGCUUUCUACAUGAUGCCAUCUGCUAUGAUGUGACAUAGUCACGAGAACCUCUCAACAGAGCUGAUGUCAUGCUAUUUGGACUUUCUGCCUUCAAACUAAACUACAUAAAUCUCUACUUUAUAAAGUACCUAGCUUCAGGUAUUAAUUUUUUUAUGCUGGGGAUUAAACCCAUCGGUGCUUUACUACUGAGCUACAUCCCCAGUUAUUUUUUAUUUUUUGUUUUGAGACAAGGUGUCACUAAGUUGCUGAGGUUGGCCUUAAAUUUGUGAUUCUCUUGCCUCAGCCUCUGGAGUCACUGGGAUUACAGGUGGGUGCUACUGUACCUGUAUCAGGUGUUUUGUUAUGGCCACAGAAAAUACAGGAAUACAUUUGUCUUCAUGUUGGAGUCAUUUGGGGAGACUUAAAAAUAUUGAUCAUUGUAUCUCACUGCAAAUUCUGAUUAAUUGGACUGUAAUGUGGCUUAGCCUGAAGAUUUUUAUGUGAUGCAGGUUGUUUUAAUGUGCCACCAAGGUUGAGAACUAUUGCUCUAACCCCAUGACUAGUUCAAAGAUGAUUAUUGUGUUUGAUUCUUUUACUAGUCAGCAUAACUAAAGAUCUUUUUUUGGUACUGG
This 4381-nucleotide long non-coding RNA is filed under the name Marmota monax (woodchuck). Lineage: Eukaryota; Metazoa; Chordata; Mammalia; Rodentia; Sciuridae. The record is from RNAcentral.